Long non-coding RNA from Brienomyrus brachyistius, 342 nucleotides. RefSeq lists it as uncharacterized. Lineage: Eukaryota; Metazoa; Chordata; Actinopteri; Osteoglossiformes; Mormyridae. The record is from RefSeq and is a predicted model, not a curated record. The transcript is spliced from 3 exons.
CAGGUAUCACAGGGUACUGUUUGCAUGGGCUACAGUUAGUGUAGCUCACAGCCAUCAAAGAUAACAGGUAUCACAGGGUACUGUUUGCAUGGGCUACAGUUAGUGUAGCUCACAGCCAUCAAAGAUAACAGGUAUCACAGGGUACUGUUUGCAUGGGCUACAGUUAGUGUAGCUCACAGCCAUCAAAGAUAACAGGUAUCACAGGGUACUGUUUGCAUGGGCUACAGUUAGUGUAGCUCACAGCCAUCAAAGAUAACAGGUAUCACAGGGUACUGUUUGCAUGGGCUACAGUUAGUGUAGCUCACAGCCAUCAAAGAUAACAGGUAUCACAGGGUACUGUUU